GGGGAUAGCCAGAGCGACCUCUGAUGUUCUUGGCACCGAACCACAACAGGCACAGAAGGGGCCUUGAGAUCAUCCAGUGCAGCCCCUCCCUUUGCAGAGAGGAGCUGGGGCCCAGGAGGGGCGUGGUCUGGGCCCGUUUCCCGGGUCCUUCGCCAGCCAGCGCACUGGGCACCCCGGUGACGAUUUUCACAGGGAAGAGCCAAGCAUACAGUUGGCACCAGCCAAUGUUCCAAGGUUCCUCGGUUGGAAGCUUCCUUUGGACCUAAAAUCUGGUCACUGGGAGAAGCGGCUGUGACUCAGGUCUGGAAGUCCUCUUCCAUCUUUCUAAGGUGUGAUCAAAAAUACAGUGACUGUCACUACUGAGAACAAUGCAAGAGAAAGGAGGGCUCCUAAAAACAUCCCGGUGUGUCCACAUCCAGCUUAUUCACCAAUCUUGGACGUACAACUUCUGCCUCUUCCCCAAAGUCGAAAUGAUCAUGGAAGGAUCACACUGGUAGAUUUUCAAAUAUUAAACAAGGCUCACAUCUUUGGGAAUUAAAUCCCAAUCCCAUUAGGAAGUGGAUCAGUUAUGCAACUCGGGAUGUUCAGAAAUCCCUGCACACCCUUCCUGCUGAAGACGUCAUGCAGAAGGCUAGGAGCAGCUCGCAGCUGGAUGGAGAGGCAGGACCUGCAGAUUGUUUUUGCUCUCUCUGCUGCCUCCCUCUUACAGUUCCUGCUCUGUUCAGGGGCCUUGGGGAAGAGAAGAAUGUGAAAAAUAAGCUCGUACCAUGUGGGAAUGGCUGAUACUAGUUUCACAGGUUAAUCUGCUUCCCAAGGUGGGGGUUUUGCUUUUCACACAGUGAACUCAGAGCUAGAAUCCCCAGUGACAGAAUUUCCGGCACUCUUGCUUUAUGGAUGCUUUCCUAGGUGGGAGCAAACCUGGGUUAAGUGCGGUGAGAGGGUUUGGGAGGUGCUAUCCACGUUGCACCCAUAUUCCCGACUCUGCCACUUGCUAGCUACGAAAUUUGGGGCAAGUGACUUCACCUCUCUAAAUCGCCUGCCAUAGAUUUGAGUUUCCCUGGGAGUAGACUCUGAUUCAAGGGUGGAUGUGUAAGCAGUGGGGGUGGAGGUGAUCCCAAGAGUCACUGUCAAGGGAACACUAUAGGACAUAAGCUAAGGAAGGCAGCCAGUACAGGGGUGGGAGUGAGAAGUGUCCCCUGGGGGUGCUGGCAGACCAGGCAGAACACACCUAGAGGUGGCCCCCGAGAGGAGUGGCAGCUGGGGUUCAGCCAUUGGUCCAGGGCUGCCCCCCAUGUCUCCAGCACCCGGAGCCCUCAGAGAAGGCUCCAGAGGCAGAGAGCAGCUCCUGGCUUGUAGUUGGAGGCUGGAAGACCCUUCUUACCCCAAAUCCCUGAAGGCUUCCUGUUACCUGACCUAUGAAGGCCAUGCUCCUCGCUGUGAUGUUAAAAGCCCCCUGUCAUUUGGCCUGGAAUGAUUUUGCCACUUACCUCUUUAUCACUCCUUCACUCCUGCAAAAUCCUAGGACUUGCCUCCUUGGCAUUUAACCUGCCCCAAAAUAAAGAAAAGGAAGAAAAUGGGAACGUUUCAGCUGUGAGCCAACAUGUAGCCCAAGAGUGUCCUUCCAGGGCUCUGCCCCUGGCAUUUUGGACGUGGCUGGAUGACUCCAGCCUUGGGCAUCAUCUGAAAUGGUAGGAAGAGCCACAGCCACUCUGAGAAGUAACGGGAGGUAGCACUGUUAAGAGGCACUGGGCACCUGGAGCCUUGUGGCUUCCUUAGGAAGAAGGGCAUUUCUCUUGUUUAACGUGGAUUUGGGUUGUGCUGGAUCUGAAGUCACUUAUUGUUGGUGCAUGUGUGUGCAUGCAUUUACAUGUGUGUGCACAUGUCUCCCAUGCAGACAAAUCUUUCCCUCUCUGCUCAUCCAGCAACAUUAGGUUGACCAAACCUGGACCAAACAAGGGACUCCCUUAGAUGUUCACUUAGAAGUCAGGAGCUGUGUGCAAACACCAUUUCCCCUGUGAGCACCAGAGGGAGCUGGCCCUGGAAGGGACAGGGGCCAGAACCUUGGAUUCAUUCUGUUCCCACCUUUGCUGCCCCCUGGUCCCUGGUGCAGUUUGGACUGUCACUUUUUUUACAGACUCUAGGGCAUCUGCAGUUUCCUGCUGUGAAUGCCCACUUCCCUUCUGAAAAGCUCCUAGAUGCAUGGCCCACCCUGAUGCCACCUCCUUCUCUAACACAGCCCUGUCACAGCCCCUAACACUAUCUAACACCAGGAAGCACUGGAUAAAAUCUCAUGGUUAGGAGCUCAGAAUCUGGGAUUAGGCAAGACCAAAUGUAAAUCCUGGGUUUACCUUUCAUGAGUUCUAGGAAUUCUGAGCCCUUACCUGCCUAAGCCUCAAGUUCUUCAUCUAGAAAGGGCAGAAGUCAUUAUGCCACUUUGUAGGAUUGCAAAGAGGGUGACAGGAAAAGAUAGAAAGAAUGUGUGCUGCUCAACACAGGGUCAGUCAUUUUUGCUUUGUUUUCCAGUACCAGGGAUCAAACUCAGGACCUUGCACUUUCGAGGCAGGCACAGCACCUCUGAGCUAAAUCCCUGGCCCUAGGGUCAGUCGUUUUGAUGAGUACUAUGCAUGUUGCCUCCAUUCCCAGGUCAGGGUCACAUUUAUUUGGCCCAUGUAAGUGCUCAUGUAUCGACAGUGAUGUUUUUAUCUUUUUUUAAAAAAAAAGUUAUUAGGAGGGCCGGGGAUUUAGCUCAGUGGUUCCAGUGCCUGCCUUGCAAGUGCAAGGUCCCAAGUUUGAUCCCCGGUACCAAAAAAAAAAAGUUAUUAGUAUAUUCUCAUGACAUAUAAUAAAUACAUUUCAUCUUAGGGAACUGGUACCUACACCUGUCACAUCUUGAUCCUCUUUCUUUCCUCUCCCCUCCCUCCUGUCUACCCAAUCCCCAGAACCCCUUCCCAUCUCCAAAAAGUCUAUCUCUCUAUUCCCUAUCAUCUACCUUUUAUUUUGCUCUUUAGAUUAUACUCAGGGUUUCUCAUAUAAGAGGAAACCACACAAUAUUCAACCUUCUGCAUCUGAUUUAUUUAGCACUAUGGUCUCCAGGUGCAUCCCUUUUCUUACAAAUGACUCAAAUUUAUCCUUCUUUAUGGCUGAAUAGCACUCCAUUGGUGAUAUUUGUUUGCAACAUGGCUUUCUAAUCUGACCCAAUAUCAAGACUUUAGCCCACCUCGUUGGCCUUUCAACAAGAAUGUUGAAUGGGCUGGGGAUUUAGCUCAGUGGUGCUGCCACCUGCCUCACAAGUGGAAGGUCCUCAGUUCGAUCCCCAGUACCAAAAAAACCAAAACAAACCAAGAAUGUUGACUGACACCUGUAGGUGUGAAAGGUAAUUUGCACACUCUCAUACCCUUUGACACACUUUUCCUUCCAAGGGCUGUUUUCCUCUCCUUCCUGCGUGCCUGUGUGUGGGGAGGCUGCCUUCCUUGAUAUCUUUACUGCGAAUGCUGGACAUACUUGUGGCUUGAGAAAUGGAGAUCACAGAGUAACAUCCUGGGUUCAGUGGAGGUUGUGUGCAGGGCUUGGUUGCAUGAGAAAUAUCAGUCUCUCAUCCUCAGCAAUGGGAAUAAGACUGGGCUCAGCAGAGGGUCCAGAAGAACAGGGUUACCUUCCCGGCUUCACCAGACUGGACUUUGAAGUAGAGAGUAGCCGGGGUAAUGCAUGCUAGCUACUGGGAUAAACGUGAUUCUCUAGGGUUAAACACAUUCAUUUUGUUAGUGUGACAGACAGAAAACAAGGGAAGUCCUCUAAGCCCAUCUGUGCGUGACCAGCACACUCACCUUCCAUCUCAUGCAUUCUUGGCUUGGAACAACAUGCGUGUCAUUCAUACUGCAGAUAACAAAUGCAAUCUGGUGGCUUUCUUCUCUACCUUUAUUUAUUUGCUUUGGAAUUUAUUGUAUCAUUUUUUUGGCAUAAGAUGUGGCUUCCCAGUAACUAUAAGUUUGCUUAAGUUUAUGUUUAAAAAAAUAGAAAAGAAUUUGUGUUUCCUGAGCACAGACUAAGG
Molecule: long non-coding RNA, 4048 nt
Organism: Heterocephalus glaber (naked mole-rat)
Lineage: Eukaryota; Metazoa; Chordata; Mammalia; Rodentia; Bathyergidae
Source: Ensembl